GAAGCGGCAACAGCUCAAAUUUGAAAUCUGGCCCUAGCGGUCCGAGUUGUACUUUGUAGAGGAUGCUUUUGGCGAGGUGCCUUCCGAGUUCCCUGGAACGGGACGCCGGAGAGGGUGAGAGCCCCGUACGGUUGGACGCCGAGCCUCUGUAUAGCUCCUUCGACGAGUCGAGUAGUUUGGGAAUGCUGCUCUAAAUGGGAGGUAAAUUUCUUCUAAAGCUAAAUACCGGCCAGAGACCGAUAGCGCACAAGUAGAGUGAUCGAAAGAUGAAAAGCACUUUGAAAAGAGGGUUAAAUAGCACGUGAAAUUGUUGAAAGGGAAGCGUUUGCGACCAGACUUUUUCCGGGGGGAUCAUCCGGCGUUCUCGCCGGUGCACUUCCCCCGGUCGAGGCCAGCAUCGGUUUCCUUAGGGGGAUAAAGGCCCGGGGAACGUGGCUCCUUCGGGAGUGUUAUAGCCCCGGGCGUAAUACCCCUCGGGGGACCGAGGAACGCGCUCUGCAAGGAUGCUGGCGUAAUGGUCGUCAACGACCCGUCUUGAAACACGGACCAAGGAGUCGAACAUUUGUGCGAGUGUUUGGGUGUCAAACCCUCACGCGUAAUGAAAGUGAACGGAGGUGAGAGCCCUCGCGGGUGCAUCAUCGACCGAUCCUGAUGUCUUCGGAUGGAUUUGAGUAAGAGCAUAACUGUUCGGACCCGAAAGAUGGUGAACUAUGCGUGGAUAGGGUGAAGCCAGAGGAAACUCUGGUGGAGGCUCGCAGCGGUUCUGACGUGCAAAUCGAUCGUCAAAUCUGCGCAUGGGGGCGAAAGACUUAUCGAACCAUCUAGUAGCUGGUUACCGCCGAAGUUUCCCUCAGGAUAGCAGUGUUGUUCUUCAGUUUUAUGAGGUAAAGCGAAUGAUUAGGGACUCGGGGGCGCUAUAUUGCCUUCAUCCAUUCUCAAACUUUAAAUAUGUAAGAAGCCCUUGUUACUUAGUUGAACGUGGGCAUUCGAAUGUACCAACACUAGUGGGCCAUUUUUGGUAAGCAGAACUGGCGAUGCGGGAUGAACCGAACGCGGGGUUAAGGUGCCAGAGUGGACGCUCAUCAGACACCACAAAAGGUGUUAGUACAUCUUGACAGCAGGACGGUGGCCAUGGAAGUCGGAAUCCGCUAAGGACUGUGUAACAACUCACCUGCCGAAUGUACUAGCCCUGAAAAUGGAUGGCGCUCAAGCGUCUCACCCAUACCUCGCCCUUAGGGUAGAAACGAUGCCCUAAGGAGUAGGCGGCCGUGGAGGUUAGUGACGAAGCCUAGGGC
Molecule: ribosomal RNA, 1295 nt
Filed under: Rhopalostroma angolense
Lineage: Eukaryota; Fungi; Ascomycota; Sordariomycetes; Xylariales; Hypoxylaceae
Description: LSU rRNA
Rfam family: Eukaryotic large subunit ribosomal RNA
Source: RNAcentral